Molecule: ribosomal RNA, 234 nt
Filed under: uncultured bacterium
Lineage: Bacteria
Description: partial 16S ribosomal RNA
Rfam family: Bacterial small subunit ribosomal RNA
Source: RNAcentral
GAUCCUGGCUCAGGACGAACACUGGCGGCGCGCCUAACACAUGCAAGUCGAACGAGAGAUGAAGAGCUUGCUCUUCAAAUCGAGUGGCGAACGGGUGAGUAACGCGUGAGGAACCUGCCUCAAAGAGGGGGACAACAGUUGGAAACGACUGCUAAUACCGCAUAAGCCCACGGCUCGGCAUCGAGCAGAGGGAAAAGGAGCAAUCCGCUUUGAGAUGGCCUCGCGUCCGAUUAG